RNAcentral lists this transfer RNA (69 nucleotides) under Ictidomys tridecemlineatus (thirteen-lined ground squirrel). RNAcentral's name for it is "Spermophilus tridecemlineatus (thirteen-lined ground squirrel) tRNA". It matches the Rfam family "tRNA". From Rfam's summary of the family: Transfer RNA (tRNA) molecules are approximately 80 nucleotides in length. Their secondary structure includes four short double-helical elements and three loops (D, anti-codon, and T loops). Further hydrogen bonds mediate the characteristic L-shaped molecular structure. tRNAs have two regions of fundamental functional importance: the anti-codon, which is responsible for specific mRNA codon recognition, and the 3' end, to which the tRNAs corresponding amino acid is attached (by aminoacyl-tRNA synthetases). tRNAs cope with the degeneracy of the genetic code in two manners: having more than one tRNA (with a specific anti-codon) for a particular amino acid; and 'wobble' base-pairing, i.e. permitting non-standard base-pairing at the 3rd anti-codon position. Lineage: Eukaryota; Metazoa; Chordata; Mammalia; Rodentia; Sciuridae. The record is from Rfam by way of RNAcentral.
GGCAUUGUGGCUCAGUGGCAGAGCACUUGCCUGGCAUGUGUGGGGUCCUGGGUUCGAUCCUCAGCACCA